CGGUGUAGAGACAUUUAAGAAGGAAAAUUGUGAUCUAAUAAUUGUGGAUACCAGUGGGCGCCACAAACAAGAAGCAGCUCUUUUUGAAGAGAUGCGACAAGUUUCUGAAGCAACGGUAUGUUUUGCUCUUCCUAAUAUUUUUUCCUUUCAUUAGAUGCUCAUGUUAUCGUUUUCCCCAGAAACCAGAUCUCGUGAUAUUUGUUAUGGAUAGUAGUAUAGUAUGUUUUACUCUGCUCUAAUUUUUUCCCUUUAAUUAGAUGCUCAUCUUGUCGUUUUCCCAGAAACCGGAUCUCGUGAUAUUUGUUAUGGAUAGUAGCAUCGGAC
This 324-nucleotide long non-coding RNA is filed under the name Nicotiana benthamiana. RNAcentral's name for it is "long non-coding RNA (NBEN_LNC020979)". Lineage: Eukaryota; Viridiplantae; Streptophyta; Magnoliopsida; Solanales; Solanaceae. The record is from RNAcentral.